UGAAGCUGGAAUCGCUAGUAAUCGUAGAUCAGCAUGCUACGGUGAAUACGUUCCCGGGUCUUGUACACACCGCCCGUCACACCACGAGAGUUUGUAACACCCGAAGCCGGUGGAGUAACCAUUUGGAACUAGCCGUCGAAGGUGGGACAAAUGAUUGGGGUGAAGUCGUAACAAGGUAGCCGUAUCGGAAGGUGCGGCUGGAUCACCUCCUUUCUAAGGA
RNAcentral lists this ribosomal RNA (220 nucleotides) under Staphylococcus epidermidis. Its description in RNAcentral is "partial 16S ribosomal RNA". It matches the Rfam family "Bacterial small subunit ribosomal RNA", at positions 1321 to 1533 of the family's 1533-position model. The record is from RNAcentral. Lineage: Bacteria; Bacillati; Bacillota; Bacilli; Caryophanales; Staphylococcaceae.